AUAUCUGUGAGUCAAUUUGCGUUUUCAACAAGUAAAAUCAUAUUUUUUUAGGUUAGUUGCUAGUUUUUCUUUUGAGUUUAUUUAUUUUUUCCUUUUGUCUUUCACAAAUUAUUUCGGUUAUGAUUUUCAAUACUAUAUAAAAAUAAGCAUAGUUUUUAAGCUUUGCGUAGGACUCCAUCAACAUCUGCCAGGGUUGAAAGAAGCUCCCCGACAGUCGAUCUACGAUAUUCGAUAACAUCGAUCAACCUGUCUUUCUUCAAAUCUUUUGAUGAUUCCUCCUUACUUCGCCAAA
Arabidopsis thaliana (thale cress) is the source of this 292-nucleotide long non-coding RNA. RefSeq annotates it as other RNA. NCBI's taxonomy places the organism in Eukaryota, Viridiplantae, Streptophyta, Magnoliopsida, Brassicales, Brassicaceae. The transcript has a single exon. The record is from RefSeq.